AUUCAUUUAGCAAGGUGUAAAUAACGAGAUGACUGAGCUGCCAAGUCUACAUUCCUGCUUAUAUAUGCAAGCUGAGAACGAAAGAAUAACAGCUAAGUAUAAACGACUGAAAGGAAGAUAUAAUGAGCUGUUAGUUCAGACUACAAAUAACAAGGACAUAGCUGUGAGGAUAACUAGUUCCAGUGGAGACCUUGAGGAAAAGUCCACGCAAACAAUCUUAUCACGUGACCUGCAGGAGAGCACUCAGGAGAAACACUCCACAAAACUACUCCACACUCACUCUCUUCUA
This is a long non-coding RNA of Bolinopsis microptera, 289 nucleotides long. RefSeq lists it as uncharacterized. Lineage: Eukaryota; Metazoa; Ctenophora; Tentaculata; Lobata; Bolinopsidae. The transcript is spliced from 3 exons. The record is from RefSeq and is a predicted model, not a curated record.